This 85-nucleotide non-coding RNA is filed under the name Corethron pennatum. The record is from RNAcentral. Lineage: Eukaryota; Bacillariophyta; Corethrophyceae; Corethrales; Corethraceae.
GAUUAAAAAGAUAAUGAAAAAAACGCGAAACCUUCACUUUCGAAUGUUGCUUCAAUUAUAUUUCUUUUCGUUCCUCCUUUAUCUC